This is a long non-coding RNA of Oncorhynchus keta (chum salmon), 2631 nucleotides long. RefSeq lists it as uncharacterized. NCBI's taxonomy places the organism in Eukaryota, Metazoa, Chordata, Actinopteri, Salmoniformes, Salmonidae. The transcript has 4 exons. The record is from RefSeq and is a predicted model, not a curated record.
GCCCCGGCCGCCACUCCCAUGGCGCUCCCCGCCGGUGCCAUGCGGUGCCGGGUUGGCCUGCUCAGAUGUAUGGGACAGUCCAGUGUCAGACUAUCAACCUGAAAGGGAUUUUGGCUUUCUUUAGUGGUUAGCGAGGUGGUCAGGGAAGCAAUGGUGGGCUCUCUCUAAGCAUCUAAUACCCAGUACUGGGCCUCUAGUCCAUCACAGACACCUUAUCCUGGUCUCACAUAUCUUGGACACACUGGACAUUACCGACACCGGCCCGGUCUGGCUCUGGUAGCCACAGACUGUAGCAGUGUAGAUGGCCGCAGCACCGAGGUCAAUGUCCCCUUACCGACGCCCAUACAGCCACAUGCCACACUUCAGCAUGCAGACAUCCAGUCCCAGGACGAGCCAACAGAACAUCUGACCAUGGAGCUUGCCAGGCAGUGGAUCCUACAGGUCUGCAAUCACAGAGAAAUCAUAUCAUUUUCCAUCCAUAUUAAGACGCAGGCAGGCACAGCCCUCUCCAUCACUGGUGCCCCUGACAACACAGGAAAUGGAUCCCACCCGGUGGCAGCCUCAGCCUUCACACUAUUUAGCACCACAAUUAUCCCCCAUUCAUUCACAGGCUGGAUGAACCAUAUAAGGCCAACUGUGAUUCAGCGAUGAUCAGCGCAAUGUGAAACCACGGGUCUGGCCUGGCAAUUUGAUGUAAUUGUGCUGCUGUGAUCUUCUGUAGUAGGUGAGACACCUCCUUUAUUGUGCCAUUCUACUGGAAGGAGAGAAUUGGAAUGGAGUCUUUGAUUUUAGGUGGACACAGUCAUAAUAUCUGUAAGAAGUACAAUGGUGUAGCAUAUCGUGGGUGAUCAAACAGAGUAGGGGAAAAUGAACAGUGAUGUAAAGUACUUAAGUAAAAAAUACUUUAAAGUACUACUUACGUCUUUUUUGGGGGUAUCUGUACUUUACUACCUUUCAAAAAGUUAGGGGUCACUUAGAAAUUUCCUUGUUUUUGAAAGAAAAGCACCUUUUUUUGUCCAGUAAAAUUGAUCAGUAAAAUUGAUCAGAAAUACAGUGUAGACAUUGUUAAUAUUGUAAAUGACUAUUGUAGCUGGAGACAGCAGAUUGUUAAUGGAACGUCGACAUAGGUGUACAUAGGACCAUUAUCAGCAACCAUCUCUCCUGUGUUCCAAUGGCACAUUGUGUUAGAUAAUCCAAGUUUAUCAUUUUAAAAGGCUAAUUGAUCAUUAGAAAACCCUUUUUGCAAUUAUGCUAGCACAGCUGAAAACUGUUGUUCUGAUUAAAGAAGCAAUAAAACGGGCCUUCUUUAGACUAAUUGAGUAUCUGGACCAUCAGUAUUUGUGGGUUCGAUUACAGGCUCAAAAUGGCCAGAAACCAAGUACUUUCUUCUGAAACUCGUCAGUCUAUUCUUGUUCCGAGAAAUUAAGGUUUUCCAUGCGAGAAAUUGCCAAGAAACUGAAGAUCUCAUACAACGCUGUGUACUACUCCCUUCACAAAACAGUGCAAAUGGUCUCUAACCAGAAUGGAAAGAGGAGUGGGAGGCCCAGGUGCACAACUGAGCAAGAGGACAAGUACAUUAGAGCAUCUAAUUUGAGAAACAGACACCUCACAAGUCCUCAACUGGCAGGUUCAUUAAAGUACCCGCAAAACACCAGUCUCAAUGUCAACAGUGAAGAGGCGACUCCGGGAUGCUGGCCUUCUAGGGAGUGACGGUUGCUGAUAAUGGGCCUCUGUAUGUCUAUGUAGAUAUUACAUUAACAAAACUGCCGUUUCCAAGCUACAAUAGUCAUUUACAACAUUUCCUGACACACAAAAGUACUCGUUACAUUUCGAAUGCUUAGCAGGACAGGAAAAUGGUCCAAUUCACACACUUAUCAAGAGAACAUCCCUGGUCAUCCCUACUGCCUCUGAUCUGGCAGACUCACUAAACACAAAUAUUGCAUUUGUAAAUGAUGUCUGAGUGUUGGAGUGUGCCCUUGGCUAUCGGUAAAUAUAAAAAAACAAGAGAAUGGUGCCAUCUGGUUUGCUUAAUUUAAUAUAAGGAAUGUGAAAUUAUGAUACUGAAGUGUAUUUUAGUAAUUACAUUUACUUUUGAUACUUGAAGGGAUACUUCAGAAUUUUUGCAAUGAGCCCCUUAAUCUACUUCCCCAGAGUCAGAUAAACUUAUGGAGACCAUUUUUAUGUCCAGUAUGAAGGAAGUUAGAGGUAGUUUGACGAGCCAACGCUAACUAGCGUUAGCACAAUGACUGGAAGUCUAUGGGUAUCUGCUAGCAUGCUAAUCUCGGUUGGAAUGGAGGUAGGGCAAGGAACGAACAUCCUCCCACCACCAUGGUCAUGGGGAGCUGUAGGGACGGCACAGAGCACAGUGAACCCGGUGACCUUUAGCUAAUGGAGGUCUGGCCUCUGAUCAAUGCACUGAGAGACUGACAGAGGCCAUCUUGCCCUUUCACUGAGAGAUGGGAUGGAGGGGACAGAGGGGGACGGAGGGCGGCAGCCAACAGGCGCGCCAUGCAGCCAUCGACCCUGCCAGUCUCCCAUCCUGUGGGUGACAGCUGUGCCAGCGGGCCUGGGGAUGGUAAUGUCAAGAUGCCACUCUGCCCUGCCACCAAGGAAGGACAGCCAACCUCUCAG